Molecule: ribosomal RNA, 253 nt
Filed under: uncultured bacterium
Lineage: Bacteria
Description: partial 16S ribosomal RNA
Rfam family: Bacterial small subunit ribosomal RNA
Source: RNAcentral
UACGUAGGGUGCGAGCGUUAAUCGGAAUUACUGGGCGUAAAGCGUGCGCAGGCGGUGAUGUAAGACAGAUGUGAAAUCCCCGGGCUUAACCUGGGAACUGCAUUUGUGACUGCAUCGCUGGAGUGCGGCAGAGGGGGAUGGAAUUCCGCGUGUAGCAGUGAAAUGCGUAGAUAUGCGGAGGAACACCGAUGGCGAAAGCAAUCCCCUGGGCCUGCACUGACGCUCAUGCACGAAAGCGUGGGGAGCAAACAGG